AACGAACGCUGGCGGCAUGCCUAACACAUGCAAGUCGAACGAAGCCUUCGGGCUUAGCGGCGCACGGGUGCGUAACGCGUGGGAAUCUGCCCCUUGCUUCGGAAUAACAGUUAGAAAUGACUGCUAAUACCGGAUGAAGUCUUCGGACCAAAGAUUUAUCGGCAAGGGAUGAGCCCGCGUAGGAUUAGGUAGUUGGUGGGGUAAAGGCCUACCAAGCCGACGAUCCUUAGCUGGUCUGAGAGGAUGAUCAGCCACACUGGGACUGAGACACGGCCCAGACUCCUACGGGAGGCAGCAGUGGGGAAUAUUGGACAAUGGACGCAAGUCUGAUCCAGCAAUGCCGCGUGAGUGAUGAAGGCCUUAGGGUUGUAAAGCUCUUUUACCAGGGAUGAUAAUGACAGUACCUGGAGAAUAAGCGCCGGCUAACUCCGUG
This 433-nucleotide ribosomal RNA is filed under the name uncultured bacterium. RNAcentral describes it as "partial 16S ribosomal RNA". It matches the Rfam family "Bacterial small subunit ribosomal RNA", at positions 29 to 507 of the family's 1533-position model. The record is from RNAcentral.